UUUGAAAUCUGGCCCCCCCUUUCCGAGUUGUAAUUUGUAGAGGAUGCUUUUGGCGCGGCGCCUUCCGAGUUCCCUGGAACGGGACGCCAUAGAGGGUGAGAGCCCCGUCUGGUCGGAUGCCUAGCCUCUGUAAAGCUCCUUCGACGAGUCGAGUAGUUUGGGAAUGCUGCUCAAAAUGGGAGGUAUAUGUCUUCUAAAGCUAAAUAUUGGCCAGAGACCGAUAGCGCACAAGUAGAGUGAUCGAAAGAUGAAAAGCACUUUGAAAAGAGGGUUAAAAAGUACGUGAAAUUGUUGAAAGGGAAGCGCCUAUGACCAGACUUGGGCCCGGUGAAUCAUCCAGCGUUCUCGCUGGUGCACUUUGCCGGGCACAGGCCAGCAUCAGUUUGGCGCGGGGGACAAAGGCUCUGGGAAUGUGGCUCCCCCGGGAGUGUUAUAGCCCACUGCGCAAUACCCUGCGCCGGACUGAGGUACGCGCAUCGCAAGGAUGCUGGCGUAAUGGUCAUCAGCGACCCGUCUUGAAACACGGACCAAGGAGUCGUCUUCGUAUGCGAGUGUUCGGGUGUCAAACCCCUACGCGUAAUGAAAGUGAACGCAGGUGAGAGCUUCGGCGCAUCAUCGACCGAUCCUGAUGUUCUCGGAUGGAUUUGAGUAAGAGCAUACGGGGCCGGACCCGAAAGAAGGUGAACUAUGCCUGUAUAGGGUGAAGCCAGAGGAAACUCUGGUGGAGGCUCGCAGCGGUUCUGACGUGCGAAUCGAUCGUCAAAUAUGGGCAUGGGGGCGAAAGACUAAUCGAACCUUCUAGUAGCUGGUUUC
RNAcentral lists this ribosomal RNA (813 nucleotides) under Blackwellomyces calendulinus. Its description in RNAcentral is "partial large subunit ribosomal RNA". It matches the Rfam family "Eukaryotic large subunit ribosomal RNA", at positions 114 to 958 of the family's 3401-position model. The record is from RNAcentral. Lineage: Eukaryota; Fungi; Ascomycota; Sordariomycetes; Hypocreales; Cordycipitaceae.